CCCUUAGAUGUUCUGGGCCGCACGCGUGCUACACUGAGUAAUUCAAUGGGUAAGGGAACGCUAGAGCAUUACCUAAUCUUGAAAUUUGCUCGUGAUGGGGAUCGACGGUUGCAAUUUUCCGUCGUGAACGAGGAAUACCUUGUAGGCGCAUGUCAUCAUUAUGCGCCGAAUACGUCCCUGCCCUUUGUACACACCGCCCGUCGCUCCUACCGAUUGAGUGAUCCGGUGAGGCUCUGGGACCUGGACGGAAAGAGCGUUUCGCUUGUUCUGUUUGGGAAACUUGGUCGAACCUUAUCAUUUAGAGGAAGGAGAAGUCGUAACA
Molecule: ribosomal RNA, 322 nt
Filed under: uncultured eukaryote
Lineage: Eukaryota
Description: partial 18S ribosomal RNA
Rfam family: Eukaryotic small subunit ribosomal RNA
Source: RNAcentral